UACGGAGGGUGCAAGCGUUGUCCGGAAUCACUGGGCGUAAAGGGCGCGUAGGCGGCUCAUGAAGGCUGUGGUGAAAGUCCGGGGCUCAACCUCGGAUCGGCCGUGGCGACUCGUGGGCUGGAGCACUGUAGAGGCGGGUGGAAUUCCGGGUGUAGCGGUGGAAUGCGUAGAGAUCCGGAAGAACACCAGUGGCGAAGGCGGCCCGCUGGGCAGUGGCUGACGCUGAGGCGCGACAGCGUGGG
RNAcentral lists this ribosomal RNA (242 nucleotides) under uncultured bacterium. RNAcentral's name for it is "partial 16S ribosomal RNA". It matches the Rfam family "Bacterial small subunit ribosomal RNA", at positions 524 to 765 of the family's 1533-position model. The record is from RNAcentral.